GGAUGUGAGGGCGAUCUGGCUGCCAACAUCUGUCACCCCACUGGUCGCCAGGGUUGAUUCGGCUGAUCUGGCUGGCUAGGCGGUGUCCCCUUCCUCCCUCACCGCUCCAUGUGUGUCCCUCCCAAAGCUGCGUCCUUGGUCGAAGAGGACAACCUUCUCCGACAGAGGAGGACCAUUCUUCGGUCAAGGGUAUACAAGUAGCUGCGCUCCCCUGCUAGAACCUCCAAACAAGCCCAAGGGCUCUUUCAAGAGGCACUUCUAUAUUUCCCUUU
RNAcentral lists this small nuclear RNA (272 nucleotides) under Propithecus coquereli (Coquerel's sifaka). RNAcentral's name for it is "7SK RNA (ENSPCOG00000010765.1)". It matches the Rfam family "7SK RNA", at positions 1 to 280 of the family's 331-position model. From Rfam's summary of the family: 7SK was discovered as an abundant small nuclear RNA in the mid-70s but a possible function has only recently been suggested. Two independent studies have found that 7SK RNA binds the CDK9/cyclin T complex (known as elongation factor P-TEFb). The record is from RNAcentral. Lineage: Eukaryota; Metazoa; Chordata; Mammalia; Primates; Indriidae.